AGCAGCCGCGGUAAUUCCAGCUCCAAUAGCGUAUAUUAAAGUUGUUGCAGUUAAAAAGCUCGUAGUUGAAUUUCGAGAUCAAAUUGUUGGUCGUGCCUCGGUACGUACUGGCAUUAUUGAUUUCUCCCUUCUGAAGAACCACGAUGUCAUUAAUUUGGUGUCGUGGGGAAUCAGGACUGUUACUUUGAAAAAUUAGAGUGUUUAAAGCAGGCUCACGCUUGAAUACAUUAGCAUGGAAUAAUGAAAUAGGACGUUUGAUUCUAUUUUGUUGGUUUCUAGGAUCGACGUAAUGAUUAAUAGGGAUAGUUGGGGGCAUUAGUAUUCAAUUGUCAGAGGUGAAAUUCUUGGAUUUAUUGAAGACUAACUACUGCGAAAGCAUUUGCCAAGGAUGUUUUCAUUAAUCAAGAACGAAAGUUAGGGGAUCGAAGACGAUCAGAUACCGUCGUAGUCUUAACCAUAAACUAUGCCGACUAGGGAUCGGAUGAUGUUAAUUUUUAAUGUACUCAUUCGGCUACCG
RNAcentral lists this unclassified non-coding RNA (517 nucleotides) under uncultured Glomus. Its description in RNAcentral is "SSU rRNA". It matches the Rfam family "Eukaryotic small subunit ribosomal RNA", at positions 569 to 1089 of the family's 1831-position model. The record is from RNAcentral. Lineage: Eukaryota; Fungi; Glomeromycota; Glomeromycetes; Glomerales; Glomeraceae.